AUGUCGCCCCCUCGUCGUCGUCGGCGCCUAUGUUUUUUCCCAUCUCGAUCCGUGGCGAUCCUCCACGCGGUGCACAGGACACGGCAUCCGCAUCGCUGGUGUUGGCUGCGGAAACGUCAUACGGCUGCUGCAAAUACUAGUGGAUCAAAGGCUUCGUCGGCUCAAAUAAACCAUCAUCAAGGUGGUACUGAUAUUCCUCAAGUUGCUGAGAAUAUGAAACAACAAAGUCUUUUUGACAAACUACCGGAGGACAUCUUACAUCAUAUACAUUCUCUCUUACCAAUACAAGACGCUGCUUGUGCUGCCUGUGUGUCUCAUGCAUUCCUGCGUUCAUGGAGAUGCUAUUCCAAACUCAGACUCAACGACUGUGCGCUUGGGUUGAGUCACAUAGAAUUUGAGGAAAGAAAAAUCUAUCUCAUUGACAAAGUUGACAAAAUUCUUAAAAACCAUCAUGACAAAGGGGUGAAGGUGGAGACACUUAGGCUUAUUCUUACCCCUUGCACCAAUAUCAAAGCCUCCUACCUGGACAGGUGGCUCCGAAGAACCGUUAAGUCUGGGUUUAAAGAUCUUUACUUGGAGAUGCCUUUAUCCAUGAAGAAAAUUUACAAAUUCCCGUGUUCAGUUUUGUCUGAUGAGGGAGCUGCAAGUUCAAUUCAGUUUCUUCACAUCGGCUCUUGCACUUUUCAUCCCACAUCAACACUUGGCUCCUUGGCAAGGUUGAAAACUGUAAGAUUGUCUUUUGUCCACACUACCGAGGAAGGAUUGGAGCACUUGUUUUCAAAAUCUUCUAUUCUAGAGGAGCUCAGAAUAUUCGCAUGCCAUGGGAUAAUUUGCUUGAAAAUACCUUGUACGAUGCAGCAUCUUAAGAGAUUUCAUGUUCAACGUUGCAGCAUGCUGCGGGUUGUAGAGAUUGAUGCUCCAAACCUCUGCUAUUUUAACUAUGACAGCGCUUUGCCAGAAAUCUACGUGAGAAAUUGUUCUCAACUUAAGCAUGUACAGUUAUCAUCUGCAUGCCCGUCUGGUGUUCUUUUUUAUGCUCGCACUAGUCUUCCGUCCAUUGCAAGGAAUGUUGAGAGUCUUAUUUUGGUUGGUCGUAGCGAGAAUGCCAACACUCCGUUGCUACAAUCCAAGCUACCCCACCUCAAGAACUUGGAAAUUAGACUCAAAGCAGUCCUCCCCAAAGGCUUCCCUCCAAGCUAUGACUUCUUUUCUUUGGUUUCUUUUCUUGAUGCUUCUCCUGCCUUGGAGUCUUUCACCCUACACGUAAAUGAGUAUGUCAUGACACACUAUCCUGUUGUUGGAGAUAAUGACGAAUGCCCGAGGCAGAAGCUGGACUUGUCGCAUAACCGCCUCAGACACAUGACGAUCACGGGAUUCUGUUCAGCCAAGAGCCUGGUUGAGCUCACGGUUCACAUCCUUGAGAGCACACACUCGCUUGAGCGCUUGACGCUGGACACAACCUAUGACUACAAUAGGUGUAUUCAAGGGCCUGGUACCAUUGGCAAAUGCACUACCUCAAGUAGGAUUGCCAAAUGCUGGCCGAUGAGCAAGAGAGGUGUUGACGAAGCUCAUAGAGCUGUGAAGACUGUUGGUAGAUACAUAGCUGGGAGAGUUCCAUUGGCUGUUCAAUUUGAGCUCAUGGGGCCCUGUAGUCGAUGCCAUACCGGCAGCCGGUAG
Molecule: ribosomal RNA, 1677 nt
Filed under: Triticum aestivum (bread wheat)
Lineage: Eukaryota; Viridiplantae; Streptophyta; Magnoliopsida; Poales; Poaceae
Description: partial small subunit ribosomal RNA
Source: RNAcentral